UCCGGUUUGAAACCGGCAGUCCCGUUAGACAUGGUAACUAACGGCGAGGGUUGCGCUCGUUGCGGGACUUAACCCAACACCUCACGGCACGAGCUGACGACAGCCAUGCAGCACCUGUGCUGGCUCUCGCCUUGACGAGUCGUUCCCCUUUCGGAGUUCUACUUCCAGCAUGUCAAGCCUAGGUGAGGUUCUUCGCGUUGCAUCGGAUUAAACCACAUGCUCCACCGCUUGUGCGGGCCCCCGUCAAUUUCUUUGAGUUUUAGCCUUGCGGCCGUAGUCCCCAGGCGGGGCACUUAUCGCGUUUGCUUCGGCACCGGGGGGGUCGAUACCCCCGACACCUAGUGCCCAUCGUUUACGGCGUGGACUAC
Molecule: unclassified non-coding RNA, 368 nt
Filed under: uncultured bacterium
Lineage: Bacteria
Description: contains 16S-23S intergenic spacer region
Source: RNAcentral